Molecule: ribosomal RNA, 440 nt
Filed under: uncultured bacterium
Lineage: Bacteria
Description: partial 16S ribosomal RNA
Rfam family: Bacterial small subunit ribosomal RNA
Source: RNAcentral
CCUACGUGAGGCAGCAGUGGGGAAUAUUGCACAAUGGGGGAAACCCUGAUGCAGCGACGCCGCGUGAGUGAAGAAGUACUUCGGUAUGUAAAGCUCUAUCAGCAGGGAAGAAAAUUACGGUACCUGAGUACUCAGCCCCGGCUAACUCCGUGCCAGCAGCCGCGGUACUACGGAGGGGGCAAGCGUUAUCCGGAUUUACUGGGUGUAAAGGGGACGUAGGAGGCAGCACAAGUCUGGUGUGAAAUGCCGGGGCUUAACCCUGGAACUGCUGUGGAAACUGGGCAGCUAGAGUGCAGGAGAGGUGAGUGGAAUUCCUGGUGUAGCGGUGAAAUGCGUAGAGAUUAGGAGGAACACCAGUGGCGAAGGCGGCUUACUGGACUGUAACUGACGUUGAGGCUCGAAAGCGUGGGGAGCAAACAGGAUUAGAUACCCUUGUAGUC